Molecule: ribosomal RNA, 525 nt
Filed under: Tamaulipeca sp. n. BFS-2018
Lineage: Eukaryota; Metazoa; Arthropoda; Insecta; Hymenoptera; Ichneumonidae
Description: partial 16S large subunit ribosomal RNA
Rfam family: Archaeal large subunit ribosomal RNA (bases 393-525)
Source: RNAcentral
AAACAUCUCUUUUAGAUUAUAAUUAUAAGUCUAAUCUGCUCAAUGAGUUUAAUUAAAUAGCUGCAGUAAUUUAACUGUACAAAGGUAGCAUAAUCAAUAGUUUUUUAAUUGAAAGCUGGAAUGAAGGAUUGAAUGAAAUAAUAAUUGUCUCAAGUUUAAUUUUAUUAGAAUUUUUUUUUAAGUUAAAAAACUUAAUUGAAUUUAAAAGACGAGAAGACCCUAUAGAUUUUUAUAAUUUUUUUUUAUAAAUUAUAAAAAUAUAAUUUAAAUUUUAUAAAAAUAAUUAUUAGGUUGGGGUAAUUUAUAAAUUUAAAAAAUUUUAAAAUUUUUAAAACAAUUAUUUUUGAAUUAAAAGAUUCUUAUUAUGGAUUAUUAGAAUAAAAUACCUUAGGGAUAACAGCGUAAUAUUUUUAGAAAGAUCAUAUUGAUAAAAUUGAUUGCGACCUCGAUGUUGAAUUAAAAUAAAAUUAUAAUGAAGAAGUUAUAAAUUUUUAGUCUGUUCGACUAUUAAAAUUUUACGUGAUC